AUUGGGAUAACUGGGUCAAAUGGUGGUUCCAUUCCAAGUUGUCUGAGGAAUCUCCAUAUUGCUUUCCAGAAUGGUUGCACCAGUUUGCAGUCCCCCCAGCAAU
Molecule: microRNA precursor, 103 nt
Filed under: Marmota monax (woodchuck)
Lineage: Eukaryota; Metazoa; Chordata; Mammalia; Rodentia; Sciuridae
Source: RNAcentral